This 496-nucleotide ribosomal RNA is filed under the name uncultured bacterium. RNAcentral describes it as "partial 16S ribosomal RNA". It matches the Rfam family "Bacterial small subunit ribosomal RNA", at positions 28 to 506 of the family's 1533-position model. The record is from RNAcentral.
GAUGAACGCUGGCGGCGUGCCUAAUACAUGCAAGUCGAGCGAACGGACGAGAAGCUUGCUUCUCUGAUGUUAGCGGCGGACGGGUGAGUAACACGUGGAUAACCUACCUAUAAGACUGGGAUAACUUCGGGAAACCGGAGCUAAUACCGGAUAAUAUUUUGAACCGCAUGGUUCAAAAGUAAAAGACGGUCUUGCUGUCACUUAUAGAUGGAUCCGCGCUGCAUUAGCUAGUUGGUAAGGUAACGGCUUACCAAGGCAACGAUGCAUAGCCGACCUGAGAGGGUGAUCGGCCACACUGGAACUGAGACACGGUCCAGACUCCUACGGGAGGCAGCAGUAGGGAAUCUUCCGCAAUGGGCGAAAGCCUGACGGAGCAACGCCGCGUGAGUGAUGAAGGUCUUCGGAUCGUAAAACUCUGUUAUUAGGGAAGAACAUAUGUGUAAGUAACUGUGCACAUCUUGACGGUACCUAAUCAGAAAGCCACGGCGAACUACGU